Molecule: long non-coding RNA, 3157 nt
Filed under: Homo sapiens (human)
Lineage: Eukaryota; Metazoa; Chordata; Mammalia; Primates; Hominidae
Description: HSALNT0118500
Source: RNAcentral
UGGACCACUGGGCUGGGACCCACGACCCCACCACCACGCCUGGAGGACGCGCAGCGGCGCCUCGGCCUUGGAAGGGGAGUUUCCCAGCGCGAGCCCCGCCCUUCCCCGCCCGGGAGGCGCCUCGGGGCGGGGUCACUGGCCGGGAGGCCCCGCCUUCCGCCCGAAAGCGCCGGUGCACCCCGCAGGCCCUGCCCGUGGGUCCACAGGCCGGAUCCCCGGGUUCCUAGGCUGGGACUGCUUCUCAGAACCACUCUGUCGUUUUUAAGCAGGGUCACACACUCUAGCUCACUGGGUCCAUUUUAAUUUCUAUUAAACAUUUUUUUUUUUUUGCAAAUGAUGUAGUAGGAGAUCCAAGGUGUUUGGUUAAUGAUUUAUUCACUCAUUAGUCAUUCCACAAACUUGUCUUGAGCACCUGUUAUGUACCCAGCACUGUGCUGGAAUGCUGAGGAGACAGGAGUGAAGUAAAAAGACAUGGUUCCGGCAGGAAACAGGCAAGGAGAGCCUUGACUUGACGGAGUCUGGCUAUAUCGCCAGGCUGGAAUGCAAUGGCGCGAUCUCUCCUCACUGCAACCUCCGCCUCCCGGGUUCAAGCGAUUCUCCUGCCUCAGCACCUCGAGUAGCUGGGACUACAGGCGCGCGCCACCACGCCCAGGUAAUAAGAGGAAAUAACUCUACAUUCAAAUUUGAGCAGGGCACUUGGUGACCUACUUAGACAUGACAUUCCUUGGCCUCCCUUUCAGCAAGAUGAGAAAACUGAGGCACAGAGAGGUGAAAUAAGGAAUGAAAUAUUACUGGAUGAAAUAAUUAUACUGAUCCUAGCCUUAUUUUAAAAGGGCCCCCAGAAUGCUCUUCUCCAAGACUUAGAAAAAUCAAAUGCUAUCCAUCCCUCAAGAUACAUCCCUCCAGCCCCUCCUUGAAGUCUCCUGCAGCUAGAAGUAGAAGUAGCAUCUAUCCCCAUCUGGACUCCUUAGCACUUUGCUGUACCUGCCUUAGUCCCCAUCUCUUUACACACACACACACACACACACACACACACACAGAGUAUUAUAAUACUAUUACCUAUUAUAUUACAUUAUAUUAUUGUAGUUCUACAGGAACUACAAGGAAUUCUACUGUGAAUUCCUUAAGGGUGGGAUACAUUUUACAAUCAUCACUGUUUCUCUCAUUAGUUGUGGAAUCAAAAAAAUGAGUGCACGAUGAAAAAUUAUUCAAACACAUACAUGCUUUCAUUCCAAUUGAAAAUGUAAAAAUAUUACUGUUAAAACAAUAUUAAAGGACAUGUAAUACAAUUCAAAUAUUCCUACCAUGCACGAUUGUUUUCACUUCUUUGUGCCUCUUUCACCAUUUAUUUGUGUGCAUACUCAGCAUAUUUGUUUGUGUAACAGGAUGUUAAAAAUAGAAUUUGUUGCCUGUAGUUUUUGCUAAAGCUCUACUAGACUGGAACAGAACAAUAGGUGGUAAAUACUCCAUUCCUCAGUGAGAUGCUACCUACCUAUGCAGAGCUGGAAAAGAUUUUGCAACCUGAAAACCCAAUCCUUUCUGAGAUAUAAAAGAACAGAAGAGUCUGGAAGUGAUUUCUUCGGAGAAAUUCAUUUUCUUAUUCCAGAGAAGAAACUUCAAGCUCAGAAUAUUGGCUACUACCUGUGAUAAACAUUUAAAUUAUUGGAACGAGAGAGUUUUUAUAACUAAAUUUGAAAGAAGCAAUUUUUUUUAUCAAAGACCAACCCGAAGAUUCAUGACCACUACCUGUGAUUUCAUCCAUGUUGCAAGGAAAAUCCUGCCCCACUUCCCCAAUAGGAAGAGUGGUGGGGGAAUAAUAAAGUUGUUUUAUGAUGCAUCCUGUGGACUUCUACUCGACAGAAUGGUAACAUUCAACUGUAAUCAGGAUGAGCAAGCCACUUUAUUAAACUAAAAUUUUAAACUUUAAUAAAUAUAAUACAAACUGAAAAAUAAAAAUAAUUUUUCAACUCUACACAAGUAUGUUAACUGCAUAAACAGUGAGAUGUUACACAGGGCUGAGGCCUAUACUUCUUCAGUUUGUACAUUAAACGUCUCCAUGGAGGGUCAAUUGCAUCCUACCUAUUCUGACAGUUAUCAGGUAGCGAGAGAUUUGAGGAAGAGGCGCUUUUCUAAUCUGGGGUAGGAAAAGGAAUGAUACCAUGUAUCAUGAGAAGUAUUUGCACAUAGUGUGUCAAUUAAGCAAGUGCUCAGACUAUUAACAACAUUACUAUGUGAUGAAUGUUUAUACAGUGGAUUCAAAAAUAAGCUUCUUUCCAGAAAGCAGCUUAGUUUUCAUUAAUUAUUACCAGCAUCUUGGUAAUUAUUUAUUUAAUGGUUUAAAAGUUAAAGUUUCAAUCUAUAUUUGUUUUUUUAACAUCAGCCAAGGAAAUACAUGUCUGUUAUACUGCAUCUUUGGAAGUAUGCAAUAAGUGUAACUAUUGAAUCUAUAUUGAAGAGCCACAAGACACUGAAUUUAAUUGGACGAGACUAUUUUAUUUAGGAAGACAAUCAUCUCCUGUGAUCAGCUUAAGGUUUUUGUUUUGUUUUAUCUGGAACAAGCUAAGUUCAUAUUUAGAAAAUAAAGUUAGUUUUUUGGGUGCAUGAGUUUUAGAGUAAAUUAGUAAUUUAGUAAACUUUGACAUUUCCACUUUGUCUCCAAACACAUUUAAAUUCUAUCUGUCUGACUGAAGUUCUAAGGCAUUCUGUGGUUACUUAGAAAUGAUUCCUUAUAUUAAUGUUUACAAAUGCUAAAUUGUAUUUGUUAAAUACAUGUCUUAUUGCCUAAGAGUUUUCCUUUCUUAUAAGUUUAAUAUAAAUGUCUAGGAAAUAAGACUCCCAUUUAAUAGCUUAUAAAGAAUGCUGAUGUAUCAGCAGUGGCCUUGACAUUAUUGGAUACAAGUAAGAUCUACACUGAUGAUUAAAUCAAAUUGGCUAAGAUUAUUCGUUCUAAUAAAAGCACUGACUCCAUGAAGUUUUCUUGUGGCUGAAAUUAACAUUCGUGUUCCUACAAGCUCUUUAAAAUCUUAGUUACUGAAAAUUAUUCCUUUUGACCUAAUUUUUUCUUUACUUUGGAUGUAUUUGACAAGGUAGAGGUUAGGGAUUGGAGAGUAUGUAAAGAAUGAAAUAAAAUGUAGUCACUUUUAACUAUAUCCACAUA